RNAcentral lists this long non-coding RNA (401 nucleotides) under Setaria viridis. RNAcentral describes it as "long non-coding RNA (SVIR_LNC000791)". Lineage: Eukaryota; Viridiplantae; Streptophyta; Magnoliopsida; Poales; Poaceae. The record is from RNAcentral.
AUCCACAUCUUGAGUACAUGCGACAAUCUCAGGUCUAAGGACAAUGCGUACAUGUUGUGUAAAGAGAGAACUAUGUAACUCGCGUUGGGUAAGUCCUAGCACAUGUCUCUACACAUGCCCACAUUAUUAGGUUGACAUCUCCAUGUCCAUGACUUGCAAAACAUAGUCAUCAACUAAUACUUGUACUAGUGUAAUAUUCAUGUGUGUCCUCACAUGAACUCCGACUAGGUACAACUCUUAGAAUAAGCACACAAGUAAAGAGUUUCACACACAAUUCACAUAAUUGUAAAUCAAUUGAAGUAGUCUUUAAUGGAUAUUCAAGGAACAUAAUAUAAAAUAUGGAUACAAUGGAAUAUCAUUGUCUCUAUGAUUGCCUCUAUGGCAUACCUCCAACAGUCUCC